RNAcentral lists this transfer RNA (67 nucleotides) under Eryx miliaris. RNAcentral describes it as "tRNA-Glu". The record is from RNAcentral. Lineage: Eukaryota; Metazoa; Chordata; Lepidosauria; Squamata; Erycidae.
GUUUUUAUAGUUGAUGUUACAACGGUGGUUUUUCGGACCGCAGGACUCGAUAGGCCGAGUGAAAACU